AUCCCUGAACACAGAUCUAGAAGUAAGCCCUUAAUGAGGUUUAUCAGAGGUACAAUUAUUGCUAAUCAAAAACUUUUUCCAAUACCCCUCCGUGAAAACUUGAAAUAUAAUGUGCAUUGGCAAUUUUUGACAGUCUCUAAGGAGA
This is a small nuclear RNA of Suncus etruscus (white-toothed pygmy shrew), 145 nucleotides long. RefSeq annotates it as U4 spliceosomal RNA. The record is from RefSeq and is a predicted model, not a curated record. The transcript has a single exon. Lineage: Eukaryota; Metazoa; Chordata; Mammalia; Eulipotyphla; Soricidae.